UUUCAGACAGAUCACAUUCCUUCUUCCCUUUCCUCCCGAUUCUCUCUGUUCAUUGGAAGCGUUUCGUUUCCUUCCGAUUUCUCUCAAAUUCAAUCGACUGCUUCGACUUUGCUUCUCCGCUCGCUUCUUUGGUAAGGAUCUCCACUGCCGCUUUCUUUUUUUUUUUUUUCCAUUAAAGAUUCAUAUUGCAAAUCUUCUUCUUUAAUUUUUUCAAAGAACUCUUUAAUGUUUGUGGUUCUCUUAAUAUUCGUGAUUCUUUUACGAGAUAAAACAUAAAAUCAUGUUCUCUGAGUCAGAUCUGGAAUCCACCGUAACACUCAUUUAGGGAAAAGUCACCAAAAUCUAAGAUCCGUGUAACCCUUUUUCGGUAACAAACGACCAAUAAAAAAUAUUAAAAAAGAAACCCAGAAAAUCCUCUGUGAAAAUAAAAAAACGAAAAGAGAUCAAAACCCUAGAUCUGGAAAUAAGAAUGAUUACUUCUCCCUGGCUUUUCUGUAAUUAGGUUGUGUGGAGUUUUGCAUUUGAGAAUCUUGAAAUGAAUCUGUAAAAUGCAAUCUUUAUAAUGUUAUUAAGGUUUGAGCUCACCAUUACAACGUAAUGGCCUCAAACCCCAUGGGGGAGUCCUAAUCAUAAUGUAUCUUUGUUUUUUAACUGGGUACAAAUUGCAAUGGUGCUGGUUCUGCUAUUUGGGGUUUGAGGACUAAUGGAUUGUAUUAUUACGGGUUCUCUGCGUAUUAUUAUGUUUGUUAUUUCAAUUAUUCGGGGCUUAUAGUUGAAAUUCCAAUGUAUAUUAUUUUUAUUGGAUGAGAAGCUUAUUGGGUUCUAUUAUUAUUAUAUAUAUUAUAUAUUUUUUCAAUUAGUUGUACUCAAAUUAUGGGUUUUGGAUCUUGUGGUUGUAUUUCAUAUUACAAUAUGUAUGUAAUAUUUGUAGGUGUCAAGUCUGUUUAUUUAUCUUAUAAUAUUGUUAUUAAGUUUUGUAAUAUUUUUUACAGGUUGUAUAUAAUAUUUAUAAGUUUUGAGCCUAUUGGAUUGUAUUUUUAUUAUUUUCGUCAUGAUAUUACCCACAUUAUUGUAUUUGAAUAAUGGAUUUCGGAUCAUUUGGUUGUAUUCCGUAUUACAAUAUAAAUGUAAUAUUCAUAGGUAUCAAGCCUAUUGAAUUAUUUUAAUAUUGUUACGAAGUUUUGUUAUAUUUUUACGGUUGUAUGUAAUAGUUAUAAAUUUCGAGCCUAUUUCGUGUAAUAUUAUUAUUAUCACGAUGAUAUGACACACAAUAUUGAUUUUGAAUUAUGGGUUUCAAAUAUUUUAGUUUCAUUCAACAAUAUAAUGAAUGUAACGAAGCCCAUUGACUUGUAUUUUUUGUCUAUAUAAUUAAACUAUAUUCUUAUUAUUAUGAAGUUUAUUAACUUUUAUGGGUUUUAUAAGUUGCUAAACUCAGUUGUAUUAUUAUUAUUAUUAACGAGCACAAAUUAUAAUUUGAUUUUAACUAAGUUGAAGUGUAUGUUAUUUGUAUUGACAUGGAGCCGAAUGGGAUUGUAAUAAUAUUUUUGCGAUGAAUUUCAUUAUUGUUAUUAUUUGUGAUGUAUUAUUGAGGGUUGAACCGAAUUGUAAUGCAUAUUAUAUUUUUUUGAUGUGUUUGUAAAAUUUAGUUGCAUCUAAAAUUGUAUUGACCGACAACAAAGUUUAAUCUUCAAAUUUUAACAAGCAAAUAAGAUUAAAUUAAAACAUUAUAAUAUUAAAAAUGUUAUACUAAGACAUUAUCAAUUUACUUCUUCAAUUUGAUGGUAAAUAAGACUUAAAUUGAAAUAAAAAAUAAACUGAAUUUUGUUGGUGAACAUAAUUUCUUAGUUUGUAAAUAAGAAUGUUAAUUAUUUGACAUACAAGUAUAUUUAUACAGUAUAUUGUGCUAUAUCCAGUAAUUAUAAUGUAUAAUAUUUGUGUAAAACAAUUAUCGUGUAUUGGUUUGCUAGAAAAUAGUAAUAUAAUGAAUUGUAUUCUCAAUUACAAUGAGUAUUUUUUUAGUGAGAUGAAAGUUGACGUAUUGUAAUAUUUUUAUCAGAAAGUUUCACCUACAAUUCGAUCAGAAAAAAUGAGUGCAACUACUUGCAGUUCAGUGAAAAAAAGAAAAAUUCCAAUGCAAAAACGUGAAACAAAAGAGCAGAGAGCUGUUACAUUCAGUAAAAGACGAACGGGUCUGUUUAACAAAGCAGCAGAAUUGUGUGUUCUCUGCAAUACUCAGGUUGUAAUUUUGGUUUCUGCUCCUUUGGCCAAAGAAAAGUUUUAUACUUUUGCACACCCUAACAUCAAUCUUCUUCUCGACACAUUCCUCAAUAACCAUGUCUCUCAUCCCAUCAACAAUUACAAUAAUCUUUCUACUUCUUCGUCUCAUCAAACUAUGGAGCAAUUAACUCCUAACAAUAAUGUGUCCAAGACCAAGAAGAGAAAGAGAGAGUCUGAAGAGUUUUGGUGGGAAAAUGAAGACUUUGAUGUUUACCAAACACCUGAAGAGGUGACAUCAAUCAUCGAGAAGUUAGAAAAGGUGAGAGAAAAUGUGGCGCUCAAACUUCAAAAAUUAUCAACUUCUAAUAAUCAAGAUAUUAACAGUAGCGAUCAUCAAAACUAUCAUCUUGGGUGCUUUGCUGAAGAUAUAAUGAACAUUAAUAAUGAGUACAGUAAAGAGAGUGGUGAUCAAAGUCAGUUUAUGACAUCCGUUGUGUUUCAGAAUUUAUCAACUUCUACUUAUCAUGGUAGUUGCAUUGAUCAAAAUAUAGUGGACAUUGAUGGAUUCAAGAACAAUGUUGAUUUUAUGCAAAUGUUGCCUCUAAAAUCUACUAUGCUUACACACAAUACCAACAAUGGCAGCCAAGAUAUUGAGAAUUAUCACAAUGAUAUGGGUACUACAUUUGAAGCCCCAUUAUUCUUCUCUAAUGGCGUCGAAAAUUAUCAAGAUAUUAGUAGUGGUGAUCAUCAAAACUAUCAUCUUGGGUGCUUUGCUGAAAAUAUAAUGAAUAUUAAUCAUGAGUACAAUAAUGAAAGUGGCGAUCAGAGUCAGUUUAUGCCAUCUGUUGUGUUUCAAAAUUUAUCAACUUCUACUUAUCAAGAUGGUUGCAUUGAUCAAAAUAUGGUGAACGUUGAUGGAAACAAGAACAAUGUUGCUUUUAUGCAGAUGUUGCCUCUAAACUCUACUAUGUUUACACACAAUACCAACAAUGACACCCAAGAUAUUGAGAACUAUCACUAUGAUAUGGGUACUACAUUUGAACCCCCAUUAUUCUUCUCUAAUGGUGUCGAAAAUUAUCAAGAUAUUAGUAAUGAUCAUCAAAACUAUCAUCUUGGUUGCUUUGCUGAAAAUAUAAUGAAUAUUGAUCAUGAGUACAAUGAUGAGAGUGGUGAUCAAAGUCAGUUUAUGUCAUCUGUUGUGUUUCAAAAUUUAUCAACUUCUACUUAUCAUGGUAGUUGCAUUGAUCAAAAUAUAGUGGACAUUGAUGGAUUCAAGAACAAUGUUGAUUUUAUGCAAAUGUUGCCUCUAAAAUCUACUAUGCUUACACACAAUACCAACAAUGGCAGCCAAGAUAUUCAGAAUUAUCACAAUGAUAUGGGUACUACAUUUGAAGCCCCAUUAUUCUUCUCUAAUGGCGUCGAAAAUUAUCAAGAUAUUAGUAGUGGUGAUCAUCAAAACUAUCAUCUUGGGUGCUUUGCCGAAAAUAUAAUGAAUAUUAAUCAUGAGUACAAUAAUGAAAGUGGCGAUCAGAGUCAGUUUAUGCCAUCUGUUGUGUUUCAAAAUUUAUCAACUUCUACUUAUCAAGAUGGUUGCAUUGAUCAAAAUAUGGUGAACGUUGAUGGAAACAAGAACAAUGUUGCUUUUAUGCAGAUGUUGCCUCUAAACUCUACUAUGUUUACAGACAAUACCAACAAUGGCACCCAAGAUAUUGAGAACUAUCACUAUGAUAUGGGUACUACAUUUGAACCCCCAUUAUUUUUCUCUAAUGGCAUCGAGAGAUGUGCUACGUCUCUUUGUAUUGGUGAUCAAAAUUUUAGUUGGAUGAAUGAUAAGAUCACUACUUCAUACAGUCAAAAUGAACAAUUUUCACCGUCCUUCUCCUCCAAUGACUUGGAUCACCAUAUCAAUACUUCUUUUGAAUGGGAGUUCAGAGAUGAGAAUCCUUCAUUUCUUCAAGAUAAUGCUACUGGAUUAGUUCCACUAUUUUCUCAUAGUGAUAAAAGCAUAGACAAGCAGAAUUUGUCUGAAUCAAAUUUUAAAGAUAAUAAUUUUUCAGUUACUGGAGCAACAACUGACAAUGACUUGUUUCUUGGUGACGACUAUGUUAAUUCUUCAACAAUGGAGGAUAACACUGAAUUUUUUUCAUUGUUGGAAUAUUUCUUUUCUAGUUGAUUGUAAGCUUUCUCUGUAUUUCCUUUGCAGUGUAAUAAAAUGUUCUUGUGGUCUCUCAACUUUUUCUUUGGCAUAUUGAUCAUAAUAUAAUUCUUAUCAUCCACUAAAUGAUGAAGUAAAUAUGUACGGAAUCAAUAUUUAUAGUCAUCAACUAUGAGAUUAAAAAAAAAAUUCAUACAAAUAUUUUAUACUAAAACAAUCAACUGCAAACUUAAAAAUCUCCCAAAUUAACUUGAAUUAAGAGUUUAUUUUAUUUUACAUUUUAAAUUAAAUAGAUCUUAUUAUUUGGGUUCUUAAUUAGUUUUAAGUUUUUAAUUAAUUAUUUUUUAAAAAAUAUUUUUUUAAAAAAUUUAUUUAUUAUAAUAUAAUUUCAUAAUAUAAGGAUAUCGGCAUUUUAUUUUUUUAAAAAAAGAAUAUCAGCAUUUAUAAUCACUAUCAUUUUUUAUUUCUUUUUUCAGUUGAGGAAACAAAAAAUAAAUAUUAGAAUAUAUUCAAAAAUUANNNNNNNNNNNNNNNNNNNNNNNNNNNNNNNNNNNNNNNNNNNNNNNNNNNNNNNNNNNNNNNNNNNNNNNNNNNNNNNNNNNNNNNNNNNNNNNNNNNNNNNNNNNNNNNNNNNNNNNNNNNNNNNNNNNNNNNNNNNNNNNNNNNNNNNNNNNNNNNNNNNNNNNNNNNNNNNNNNNNNNNNNNNNNNNNNNNNNNNNNNNNNNNNNNNNNNNNNNNNNNNNNNNNNNNNNNNNNNNNNNNNNNNNNNNNNNNNNNNNNNNNNNNNNNNNNNNNNNNNNNNNNNNNNNNNNNNNNNNNNNNNNNNNNNNNNNNNNNNNNNNNNNNNNNNNNNNNNNNNNNNNNNNNNNNNNNNNNNNNNNNNNNNNNNNNNNNNNNNNNNNNNNNNNNNNNNNNNNNNNNNNNNNNNNNNNNNNNNNNNNNNNNNNNNNNNNNNNNNNNNNNNNNNNNNNNNNNNNNNNNNNNNNNNNNNNNNNNNNNNNNNNNNNNNNNNNNNNNNNNNNNNNNNNNNNNNNNNNNNNNNNNNNNNNNNNNNNNNNNNNNNNNNNNNNNNNNNNNNNNNNNNNNNNNNNNNNNNNNNNNNNNNNNNNNNNNNNNNNNNNNNNNNNNNNNNNNNNNNNNNNNNNNNNNNNNNNNNNNNNNNNNNNNNNNNNNNNNNNNNNNNNNNNNNNNNNNNNNNNNNNNNNNNNNNNNNNNNNNNNNNNNNNNNNNNNNNNNNNNNNNNNNNNNNNNNNNNNNNNNNNNNNNNNNNNNNNNNNNNNNNNNNNNNNNNNNNNNNNNNNNNNNNNNNNNNNNNNNNNNNNNNNNNNNNNNNNNNNNNNNNNNNNNNNNNNNNNNNNNNNNNNNNNNNNNNNNNNNNNNNNNNNNNNNNNNNNNNNNNNNNNNNNNNNNNNNNNNNNNNNNNNNNNNNNNNNNNNNNNNNNNNNNNNNNNNNNNNNNNNNNNNNNNNNNNNNNNNNNNNNNNNNNNNNNNNNNNNNNNNNNNNNNNNNNNNNNNNNNNNNNNNNNNNNNNNNNNNNNNNNNNNNNNNNNNNNNNNNNNNNNNNNNNNNNNNNNNNNNNNNNNNNNNNNNNNNNNNNNNNNNNNNNNNNNNNNNNNNNNNNNNNNNNNNNNNNNNNNNNNNNNNNNNNNNNNNNNNNNNNNNNNNNNNNNNNNNNNNNNNNNNNNNNNNNNNNNNNNNNNNNNNNNNNNNNNNNNNNNNNNNNNNNNNNNNNNNNNNNNNNNNNNNNNNNNNNNNNNNNNNNNNNNNNNNNNNNGCCCGCAGUAGGGCCCUAUAAAGGUGAUCCGUGAAGCUCCAGCACCUCAUAAACUUAAGAACAUAUACUAAGCAUAUCCAGAACCUGAGGAGGAAGCUCGCUGCUCUGCACUCGCUGCAUCCAUUGAUAACCAAAAAUUUCAGGAGUAUCGAUUGAAAGCAGAUCGGUGAUGAAUAGAUAAUAAAGCACCAAGGAUCGACAUAAAUUUGUUGGCUCAAGCAAAUCAAUUAUGAUAUUUUUUUGGAGGAAAUUUCCACUUUAACAAUCAUGAUAAGCUAGUGAGCUAAAUCACAUCUUACCAUUUGCCUUUAACAAAAUUUCCGUCUUCUUUAAUUACUCCAACAAUGCAUCUUAGCUUUUACAAGGUAUUAAUUAAUAACUACAUGUGAUAAAUACAGAGGACUUUUAGGUAUUCUUGAUUAGACCCUAGAAUUGAUCGGAUCCUAGAAUUCUCUUCUAGGACCAAAUAUCAUUUAAGUACCAUAACUUCAAACUACAUUAAAAAUUAUCCAUAAGAUUUUGAGUUACAUUCAAUAAGAUACUCUAAUCUUUAAUUAGUCUCCCAAUACAUCUAUCACCAUACAAAUACCUGAAGAAAAUCUCAUCCUUGACAAUCUAGCCAUGUAAAUGCUUCCUUUUAUAAAUGCCACCUUAAUUUAAGUUAGCAUAAUAAUUAGAAUGGGCUUUGCAAAACCUCCAGCCCCAUCCUCGUGCAUCAUCAUCUAUGAAAAAACCUAAUUGCCUUACUAAAAGCAAUUCACAAACUAAUUAAUAAUACUUAAUCUAUUAAUACAUCCUUUCUAGGAAAGCUUUCUGAAUAAAAAGAGCAAAUCCAUGUCUCAAGAAUCGAUUCCACAUAUAAAAUAAUUCUAAAAACGUUUUAUGUGUAUUAUCUAUCACUCACAUAUAAAAUUUGCUUCAUAUUCACAUAAACAACUCAGUAGUCAACCAAAUCUAUCAAUUGUCACUUAUAAAAAUUAUGACCUAAAAAUCCCUUCUAGUAUCUGUAUUCCCAUGUACUAGGUUAAUCUUAUAACUAGAGCAAAAAAGAUAAAUCACAUCAGAAUCCCGGAUGUAGAAACCUUACUCAAAUUUGGUCAAUAGGUAAAUGACAUUUGUGUGAGUGUUAUCUCUUGUGCACUAACAUGUAGUAACUGAUUAAGAAACAAAUUAUCCGCUUAGUGAAUCAACUUUGAUGGAGCCAAUCAAACUACAUGCUGGAAUUUUUCGGAUUUUAGACUCUGCCAUCGCUUUCCUCCAAUUAGCAGCAUCUCCCCACCUUUCCCCAACAGCACUUAUAUUUGACAACACCACAUAUCGGCCACAAUGUUUUGGCUGUAAUUCAAGGAGCUUCUUUCCUACUUCAUUUCCCAACUGAACGUCCCCAUGAAUCUUACAAGCACCAGAAAGAGCUCCCAAAACAGAGGCAUCAGGCAGCAAGGGCAUGCAAAGUACAAACUCAACUGCAUCUCUCAGAAGUCCUGCUCGGCCCAAGAGAUCAACAGCACAGCCAUAAUACUCCCUUACUGGUACAACACCAUAUCGACUUGACACUUACAGAAACAACUUCAAACCCAAGUCAACAAGUUUUGCUCGAGCACAAGAUGUAAGAAUAGCAACAAAGGUAACCUCAUUGGGGCAAAAUCCUUGCACUUUCAUCGUCUCAAACAUACAUAGAGCUUGCUUCGCCCUGCCAUGACAGGCAAGUGAAGAAAUCAUUGCAUUCCAAGUGAAAACCUCUUUAACCUCUAUCCGAUUGAAUACUCUUUUUGCAGUCUCCAAACAACCUGUCUUUCCAUACAAAUCUACCAACGCAGCCCCCACGACAGCGCUCAAACUGAACCCAUUCUUAACAACAUAUCCAUGUAUCUGCUUCCUUUGAUAAAGACCAGUUCCAUCUAAAUUAGCACAAGAAGACAGCACAGUAACAAAUGCAGCCUCAUUAGACUUUACGGAACCGCGGACCACAUCCUCGUGAACCAUAAUCUUUGCAAAAAGUGGCAAUGCAUCAACAAAGCGUCCAUUCAUCACGAACCCAUUAAUAACUCUCGUCCAUCAAACCACAUCCUUCCCGGGCAUGCUCUGAAAAUACAGAAAAGCAGAACCCACGUCUCCAUUCCUCCAAAAAGCGUCAAGUAAAACAUUACACGCCACAAUACAUGGAUGGGGAAUUUCCACAAACAUCUUACGUGCAUUGCGUAUGUCACACACUUCGGCGUCCACAUUCACGGAUGAAGUUUGCACAAAUGGGUCGCAUAAAACACCCCAUUUGAGAGCAUGAGCAUGGAGAAUUGGGCCAGAUGAGGGAGAGCAAGAAGCAGCUUUGAUUAGAGACGGGAAAGUGAGAUGGUUUGGUGAAAGUCCGUGUGCAAUCAUGCGGGUGAAAAGUAGUAAAGAAGUACAAGAGAGUCCCGUAGAGAGAUAAGAUCAAAUGAGAGUGUUGUAAAUGAGAACGGUGUUCCAUGAAGAAGUGUGGUUGAGGAGAGAGCCGCGGGUGAUAAGAAGGGAAUGAAUCUGUUUGAUCUGGUUGGGACAGUGGAUGAAAUGCUGGAGAAGAAGCUCGGGACUUGAAAAUCCAGAAAACCCACCUGUUACCAGAAGCUUUAAAAUCAAAACUUGAUUAGAUGCCCGUUCUUGUCCACCAUCUGCCCAGUUCGUAUAUUAUUAUUUUUGGAUCAAAUUAACAUUUUUUUUUUUCUCAUGUUUCUUUCAAUUCAUAUAUGUAUAUAUAUAUAUAUAUAUAUAUAAAUUUAAUUCCAACAAAAAAUGAAGAAAAUUCUUUUAUUUUACUAUUUAUUUUCUGUGUUUUAAAAUAAUAAUAAUUAUUAAAUUUGAUUAAACUUAACGAGGAAGAUUGAUUUAUUUUAUUUAAUUUAUACAAUCAUAUUAUUAAUAAAUUAAAAAAAAGUUCGAUUACAACUAUUUUUCAAUUUUUCUAAAUUUUCUAACGAAAAAAAAAUUCUAUGUAGAGAAAAUCUUUUCUCGACAUAGGUUAAAUUCGUAUUCAGUUUUUAAUAUUGUGUAUAUUCAUUAAAACUGAUUAUAGAAGAAUUAUGAAUUUAACUUGAAAAAAAUACUUUAACAUUAAUAAAAUGGAGAACAAAAUCAAUAUUUUAAACUAUAAAAUUUACAUAUUAAAAACUAGAAAAUAACCAACCCUAGCACCUAAAGAAAAGCAAGCGACAAAAUUAACCGUGAAUGUUCAAUUUAUUGACAAUCACAAAUUACCAUCUUUAAUUCAUUUAUAAUAAUCAUAAAUUACCCUCUUCGAAAAUUCUUAUAUUUCACUUCGGUCCUUUUAUCUUCAUUCUCCGUUAAUUUUCUGUAAGGAUUAAUUUGCAAUUGUUAUGCUUGCAACAUCAUUAUGAAAAUUUUCUGCCAUUGUGCAAUAUUUUUACAGUCAAUCGCUUCAGACUUUUCGAGUGUUUGACUCGAUCAUUUUAUAUGCAUAAAUAAUAUAGUAAUGCCCCACUCAUUUAGAGUGUUGUUUUGAGGUUGCAGAUUUUAGAGAGUCUUUUUAAGAAGUAUGAGAUUGUCAAAUACAUUUUUGUAUAAAACUUUAAGCCUUACAAGACUAGGGCAAAGUACUACAAGUUCAUCUAUUGUUGGCUCUGGGUGAUAAUAUAUGAAUGUUCCUGUAUAAGCCUAUGGGAAGUAAGUCAUGCAGGAGGUCAGAAGAAAGGGAACACACGAUAUGGGAUUUUGUCGGUAGCAAGAUUAUGGUGGACAGAUUGGAGCUACUAGCGAUAGCUGCUGUUUUCCUCAUACGACUUUACGUAUCAUAUUUUACUGUAUGUUCCUAUAAAUUUGCAAUUAGUGGGUAAUAGGAUAUCUGCAAUUUUUUACUCAGAAAAGAGUGAGACUUGGGUAUUUAGUGUUGCAGUUUUACUGUUUUGUUUCGACAAGGGAGUGCUUAGUACUGGUUCAAAUUUUGGGUAAAGACUGAACACUAGUUAGCUCCACCUUCUUGCAUGAUAUUAAUCAAGGGCUAUAUACUCUUCCAUUCUUUUUUUGUUCCUUUUAUUUUUUCUAUGAAUGAGUUGGAUGAAAUAGUACGGUUGGCUUUUAUAUAUAAAUAAUAUAUACCUUUAAUCUCUUUUGAUUUUCGGUACAUGAAUAUAUGACUUGUGAGCAGCUUCUCCUGAAGGAGAUUAUUGAAGCAGGUCGUCUCUUUUAUUUUAUCUUAUUUCAACUUAUUCUUCUAUUGAUCCGAAUACAUAUUUAAGUUGUUUUGUUUUUCUUUUCGAGAUUUUUUAUAGUUUUUUAUGUUAUUACUCCUCACUGAGUAUCCUAUUAUGGCAUGGAUUGGAAUAUAAUAAGUGAUGAUUCUUCAUGACUGCUAUCAAUGAACAUUAAUUAGGUAAGUUGUAAGGAGAUAUAUAUACUAUUCUAUUUUUUCUAUCCUGAGUUUGAUUUAUUAGGGGGAGUUUAGGAAUCAGAAUCCUAAAUACAUUAUGUCAAUGCGGAAGAGUCAGUAAGUUAGCAUUUUGAGAAAGAGUUAAUACAAUAUAGGAUUUACUUUUGCAUUAUCAAUACUGGUACUUUUAGUGGUAAAAAGUGUAAGAAAAUAGAAAAAACAAUAAAAUAUUUUUAUUAAAUAUUAGUGCAAUUUAAUUUGUUGUUUUAAAUUUAAUUUAUUAGUAUUAUUUGUGAUAUUGUUUCAAAAUUAUUUUUUAAAAAAUCAUAUCUUCAUAUAAUAUUUAACCUUCACCUUGGAGAAAUUAAAAUAGUGAUACAUUUAAUUAACUAAUUUGAUAAUAUACAUUCAAUUUAAUAUUUAUUCAUGCAGUCGUAUAAUUUAAUAAAUUAUUAAAGAUAAAAAUAAAGAUUAUUUAUUAUUAAGUAUACUCUUAUAAUAGCUUUAGUUUUAAAGUUAGAUUUAAUGGUUAAAUUUAAUUUUUAGGAAAAAUAAAUAAUAAUUUUUAAAUAUAUAUUUUGUUUUGGUUUAAUUUUAAAAAUAAUAUAUUUUUUUCUAGAAAAUUCUGUAAUUGACCAAUCUCUUUUUUAAUUUAAAUUUAUAAGUUUAUGAUUAAUUUAUUAUUUUUAUGAUUUUUUUUUUAUUUUUAAUUUGUUUGUUAUACAUUAUUAUUUUGCUUGCAAAUUAUAGUUAUAAUUAUAAUUAUAAUUAAAUUAAAUUAAAUUAAUUUAAUAGCCCAGUUUUUUCCAACCCAUAACCUGCAAACGACAGCGUUUUGGAAGAGGUUAUUGGCGGCAAAAGGGAAGGGUUUUAAGGGAAUUUAGAAAGGUUUAGGGGCAAAAUUGGAAAUACAGCUGUUUCCAACGGUCUUCUUCUCUCUAUAUAUAUUGCACCGACCACUCCAUUCUUCUCUCUCUACUCAGCUUUCAGACAGAUCACAUUCCUUCUUCCCUUUCCUCCCGAUUCUCUCUGUUCAUUGGAAACGUUUCGUUUCCUUCCGAUUUCUCUCAAAUUCAAUCGACUGCUUCGACUUUGCUUCUCCGCUCGCUUCUCUGGUAAGGAUCUCCACUGCCGCUUUCUUUUUUUUCCAUUAAAGAUUCAUAUUGCAAAUCUUCUUCUUUGAUUUUGUCAAACAACUCUUUAAUAUUUGUGGUUCUUUUAAUAUUUGUGAUUCUUUUACGAGAUAAAACAUAAAAUCAUGUUCUCUGAGUCAGAUCUGGAAUCCACCGUAACACUCAUUUAGGGAAAAGUCACCAAAAUCUAAGAUCCGUGUAAUCCUUUUUCGGUAACAAACGACCAAUAAAAAAUAUUAAAAAAGAAACCCAGAAAAUCCUCUGUGAAAAUAAAAAAAACGAAAAGAGAUCAAAACCCUAGAUCUUGAAAUAAGACUGAUUACUUCUCCCUGGUUUUUCUGUAAUUAGGUUGUGUGGAGUUUUGGAUUGGAGAAUCUUGAAAUGAAUCUGUAAAAUGCAAUCUUUGUAAUGUUAUUAAGGUUUGAGCUCACCAUUACAACGUAAUGACCUCAAACCCCAUGGGGGAGUCCUAAUCAUAAUGUAUCUUUGUUUUUUAACUGGGUACAAAUUGCAAUGGUGCUGGUUCUGCUAUUUGGGGUUUGAGGGCUAAUUAUAAUGUAUAUAAUUUUCAUUUAGUUUGAGGACAAACUACAAUUGUAUAAUGGAUUGUAUUAUGUUUGUUAUUUCAAUUAUUCAGGGCUUAGAGUUGAAAUUCCAAUGUAUAUCAAUUUUUAUUGGAUGAGAAGCCUAUUGGGUUCUAUUAUUAUUAUUAUAUAUAUUAUAUAUUUUUUUAAUUAGUUGUACUCAAAUUAUGGGUUUUGGAUCUUGUGGUUGUAUUCCAUAUUACAAUAUGUAUGUAAUAUUUGUAGGCGACAAGUCUGUUUAUUUAUCUUCUAAUAUUGUUAUUAAGUUUUGUUAUAUUUUUUACAGGUUAUAUAUAAUAUUUAUAAGUUUGAGCCUAUUGGAUUGUAUUUUUAUUAUUUUCGUCAUGAUAUUACCCACAUUAUUGUAUUUGAAUAAUGGAUUUCAGAUCAUUUGGUUGUAUUUCAUAUUACAAUAUAUAUGUAAUAUUCAUAGGUAUCAAGCCUAUUGAAUUGUUUUAAUAUUGUUACGAAGUUUUGUUAUAUUUUUUACGGGUUGUAUGUAAUAGUUAUAAAGUUCGAGCUUAUUGCGUUGUAAUAUUAUUAUUAUCAUGAUGAUACGACACAUAAUAUUGUAUUUGAAUUAUGAGUUUCGGAUCAUUUGGUUGUAUUCCAUAUUACAAUAUGUAUGUAAUAUUCAUAGGUAUCAAGCCUAUUGAAUUGUUUUAAUAUUGUUACGAAGUUUUGUUAUAUUUUUUACGGGUUGUAUGUAAUAGUUAUAAAUUUCGAGCCUAUUUCGUUGUAAUAUUAUUAUUAUCACGAUGAUAUUACCCACAUUAUUGUAUUAGAAUAAUAGAUUUUGGAUCAUUUGGUUGUAUUCCAUAUUACAAUAUAUAUGUAAUAUUCAUAGGUAUCAAGCCUAUUGAAUUGUUUUAAUAUUGUUACGAAAUUUUGUUAUAUUUUUUACGGGUUGUAUGUAAUAGUUAUAAGUUUCGAGCCUAUUUCGUUUGUAAUAUUAUUAUUAUCACGAUGAUAUGACACACAAUAUUGUUUUUGAAUUAUGGGUUUCAAAUAUUUUAAUUUCAUUCAACAAUAUAAUGAAUGUAACGAAGCCCAUUGACUUGUAUUUUUUUUCUUAGAUAAUUAAACUAUAUUCUUAUUAUUAUGAAGUUUAUUAACUUUUAUGGGUUUUAUAAGUUGCUAAAUUCAGUUGUUAUUAUUAAUUUUUUUUUAAAGUUGUGGGCCGAGCACAAAUUAUAAUUUGAUUUUAACCAAGUUUAAGCAUAUGUUAUUUGUAAUAAUAUUUUUGCGAUGAAUUUCAUUAUUGUUAUUAUUUGUGAUGUAUUAUUGAGGGUUGAACCGAAUUGUAAUGCAUAUUAUAUUUUUUUGAUGUGUUUGUAAAAUUUAGUUGCAUCUAAAAUUGUAUUGACCGACAACAAAGUUUAAUCUUCAAAUUUUAACAAGCAAAUAAGAUUAAAUUAAAACAUUAUAAUAUUAAAAAUGUUAUACUAAGACAUUAUCAAUUUACUUCUUCAAUUUGAUGGUAAAUAAGACUUAAAUUGAAAUAAAAAAUAAACUGAAUUUUGUUGGUGAACAUAAUUUCCUAGUUUGUAAAUAAGAAUGUUAAUUAUUUGACAUACAAGUAUAUUUAUACAGUAUAUUGUGCUAUAUCCAGUAAUUAUAAUGUAUAAUAUUUGUGUAAAACAAUUAUCGUGUAUUGGUUUGCUAGAAAAUAGUAAUAUAAUGAAUUGUAUUCUCAAUUACAAUGAGUAUUUUUUUAGUGAGAUGAAAGUUGACGUAUUGUAAUAUUUUUAUCAGAAAGUUUCACCUACAAUUCGAUCAGAAAAAAUGAGUGCAACUACUUGCAGUUCAGUGAAAAAAAGAAAAAUUCCAAUGCAAAAACGUGAAACAAAAGAGCAGAGAGCUGUUACAUUCAGUAAAAGACGAACGGGUCUGUUUAACAAAGCAGCAGAAUUGUGUGUUCUCUGCAAUACUCAGGUUGUAAUUUUGGUUUCUGCUCCUUUGGCCAAAGAAAAGUUUUAUACUUUUGCACACCCUAACAUCAAUCUUCUUCUCGACACAUUCCUCAAUAACCAUGUCUCUCAUCCCAUCAACAAUUACAAUAAUCUUUCUACUUCUUCGUCUCAUCAAACUAUGGAGCAAUUAACUCCUAACAAUAAUGUGUCCAAGACCAAGAAGAGAAAGAGAGAGUCUGAAGAGUUUUGGUGGGAAAAUGAAGACUUUGAUGUUUACCAAACACCUGAAGAGGUGACAUCAAUCAUCGAGAAGUUAGAAAAGGUGAGAGAAAAUGUGGCGCUCAAACUUCAAAAAUUAUCAACUUCUAAUAAUCAAGAUAUUAACAGUAGCGAUCAUCAAAACUAUCAUCUUGGGUGCUUUGCUGAAAAUAUGAUGAACAUUAAUAAUGAGUACAGUAAAGAGAGUGGUGAUCAAAGUCAGUUUAUGACAUCCGUUGUGUUUCAGAAUUUAUCAACUUCUACUUAUCAUGGUAGUUGCAUUGAUCAAAAUAUAGUAGACAUUGAUGGAUUCAAGAACAAUGUUGAUUUUAUGCAAAUGUUGCCUCUAAAAUCUACUAUGCUUACACACAAUACCAACAAUGGCAGCCAAGAUAUUCAGAAUUAUCACAAUGAUAUGGGUACUACAUUUGAAGCCCCAUUAUUCUUCUCUAAUGGCGUCGAAAAUUAUCAAGAUAUUAGUAGUGGUGAUCAUCAAAACUAUCAUCUUGGGUGCUUUGCUGAAAAUAUAAUGAAUAUUAAUCAUGAGUACAAUAAUGAAAGUGGCGAUCAGAGUCAGUUUAUGCCAUCUGUUGUGUUUCAAAAUUUAUCAACUUCUACUUAUCAAGAUGGUUGCAUUGAUCAAAAUAUGGUGAACGUUGAUGGAAACAAGAACAAUGUUGCUUUUAUGCAGAUGUUGCCUCAAAACUCUACUAUGUUUACACACAAUACCAACAAUGACACCCAAGAUAUUGAGAACUAUCACUAUGAUAUGGGUACUACAUUUGAACCCCCAUUAUUCUUCUCUAAUGGUGUCGAAAAUUAUCAAGAUAUUAGUAAUGAUCAUCAAAACUAUCAUCUUGGUUGCUUUGUUGAAAAUAUAAUGAAUAUUGAUCAUGAGUACAAUGAUGAGAGUGGUGAUCAAAGUCAGUUUAUGUCAUCUGUUGUGUUUCAAAAUUUAUCAACUUCUGCUUAUCAUGGUGGUUCCAUUGAUCAAAAUAUAGUGAACAUUGAUGGAAACAAGAACAAUGUUGAUUUUAUGCAAAUGUUGCCUCUAAAAUCUACUAUGCUUACACACAAUACCAACAAUGGCAGUCAAGAUAUUGAGAAUUAUCACAAUGAUAUGGGUACUACAUUUGAAGCCCCAUUAUUCUUCUCUAAUGGCAUCGAGAGAUGUGCUACGUCUUUUUGUAUUGGUGAUCAAAAUUUUAGUUGGAUGAAUGAUAAGAUCACUACUUCAUAUAGUCAAAAUGAACAAUUUUCACCGUCCAUCUCCUCCAAUGACUUGGAUCACCAUAUUAAUACUUCUUUUGAAUGGGAGUUCAGAGAUGAGAAUCCUUCAUUUCUUCAAGAUAAUGCUACUGGAUUAGUUCCACUAUUUUCUCAUAGUGAUAAAAGCAUAGACAAGCAGAAUUUGUCUGAAUCAAAUUUUAAAGAUAAUAAUUUUUCAGUUACUGGAGCAACAACUGACAAUGACUUGUUUCUUGGUGACGACUAUGUUAAUUCUUCAACAAUGGAGGAUAACACUGAAUUUUUUUCAUUGUUGGAAUAUUUCUUUUCUAGUUGAUUGUAAGCUUUCUCUGUAUUUCCUUUGCAGUGUAAUAAAAUGUUCUUGUGGUCUCUCAACUUUUUCUUUGGCAUAUUGAUCAUAAUAUAAUUCUUAUCAUCCACUAAAUGAUGAAGUAAAUAUGUACGGAAUCAAUAUUUAUAGUCAUCAACUAUGAGAUUAAAAAAAAAAUUCAUACAAAUAUUUUAUACUAAACCAAUCAACUGCAAACUUAAAAAUCUCCCAAAUUAACUUGAAUUAAGAGUUUAUUUUAUUUUACAUUUUAAAUUAAAUAGAUCUUAUUAUUUGGGUUCUUAAUUAGUUUUAAGUUUUUAAUUAAUUAUUUUUUAAAAAAUAUUUUUUUAAAAAAUUUAUUUAUUAUAAUAUAAUUUCAUAAUAUAAGGAUAUCGGCAUUUUAUUUUUUUAAAAAAAGAAUAUCAGCAUUUAUAAUCACUAUCAUUUUUUAUUUCUUUUUUCAGUUGAGGAAACAAAAAAUAAAUAUUAGAAUAUAUUCAAAAAUUAUUAUUAAAUAUGUCAAACUAUAAAAAUAUUUUAUAAAUUAAAGUUUGAGUGAAAACUAAACCAAGCAAACGUAAGUAAACACUUUACUAAAUAUAUGAAUUAAGCCAAUCGAACAAGCGAUUAAUAUAUUUAAGCUUACCGGUACAGAUUUUAUCCCAUAAUCAUUUUAGGGAUGAUUUAAAUUAAAAAUAUAUUUUUAUAAUAAUAUAUAUUUAAUUAAUAUAUUAUUUAAAUUAGAUCGAUUUAGUUAGAAAUUUAAUUAGACAGAAAAUUUAAUUAAAUUUUAAUACUAUUCAAGUUCGAUGAGAUUUUAGAUUUUAAAAUUAUAAGAUUAUAUCAAAAUCGAAGUUUGUAAAAUUCGCUCAAGACUCCAUCUAUUGUUACCCUAAACCGUGUUCAUACCAUAUUAGAAUUGAACUUUGUGAUUCAGCCGGUUGUUUGAACUUAUGAUGGUAUAGAAUCACACGGGUCCACCACCUUUAACUCAUUGAAGAAAAGCUAGACACAACCUUCAAAAAAUUUGAAAAAAGUUUGGAUGUAUCUUCUUUUAAAAGAAAUCAUUUUACCCUGUAAGUCUUUGUUUCUUUCUAAAAAUCUAUCUGGGUGUUACCAUGAAAAUGAUGAAGGCUGUGAAGAAGCUCAAAUUCUGGUCAAGAUCCAGGAAGAAAAGGAAGUACCUUGAGGAGCCCUUCUACCCUGUUCUGGCGCACCAUUGUUGUUGCCGUUCAUGCUCCUCCGUCCAGCCCUCAGCUCCACCAUGGCCUGGUGAAUUCUCAUAUCAGAUUCAAGCUGAUGAAACAGAAAGUGUAGAAGAAAGUAAAUUAAUCCAUUCAAAAUUACCUCAAGUAGACGAAGUUAUAAUCACGAGUAGGUCAAUGUAUCAGCAAUAUAUGGUUGAAAAUCCUGUGUAUGACAUGCCUGAGCCUGUUGUUGAGAUAGUUAGAAGAGAAAGAUCAGGCGGGUACGUUCUUCAGCUGGGUUCUUGUCUGAUCCGCUGCUUCUGCCCAUGUUUCAGUACAGAAGAAGCUCAGUAAAAAAGUGAUUUUGUUAAAUUGUUAGCUUACUUCUUCCUCUAUUUUCUUCUUUUUUUUUUCUUUAAAUUCAGCAAUAGUAAAAAUAUGUUUCUGGAUAUUUUUUUUUGUAAAAAUGCAUUGUCAGUCUUAACUCUGUUGUAUCUAAUAUUUUAACGUAAUAUAAACUUUUAAUAAAAAUUCAUACCUAACUUUGGUUGCAUUCAUACCAAGCGCGGGCAAGAAAGAGCCCCAGCCAACUCCGCUCUGGACGCUAUGAGCUUCUCUAUGCAAUUCUUUAUCUCUUUCUGACUAUUUGUUCUCUGUGUAUUGCUCCUGCAAAAAAGCCAAGCAAAUAAGAGAAUCAAUGAACAAAAAAGUAGUCCUCAAAGAUGCUCAGAUUUAAAAAUACGUAAAGCCGGUGAUUCCGAGUUAUAACGACCUUGCUUCCAGGGGAAAACCAUUCUAGCAUUCCAAUAAUUUUAUCUAAUUCUUCCGAGUCAUCCAAAUCAUCAGGAACAACAAGACUCCUAUAAAGCAUAUAAUUCUUUUGAUCUUACUAAUCCCCUCAUCAACAUUGUUCAACUUGUAUUUUUAAAUCUUGAUAAAUGACCUUGGUGUGAUGUUAUCUGGUGCACAAACAUGUAGUAACUGAUUAAUAGACAAAUUAUCCGCUUAGUGAAUCAACUUUGAUGUAGCCAAUCAAACUAUAUGCCGGAAAUUUUCUGAUUUUAGACUCUGCCAUCACUUUCCUCCAAUUAGCAGCAUCUCCCCACCUUUCCCCAACAGCACUUCUAUUUGACAACACCACAUAUCGGCCACAAUGUUUUGGCUGUAAUUCAAGGACCUUCUUUCCUACCAUUUUCCAACUGAACGUCCCCAUGAAUCUUACAAGCACCAAAAAGAGCUCCUAAAACAGAGGCAUCAGGCAUGAAGGGCAUGCUAAGUGCAAACCCAACUGCAUCUCUCAGAAUUCCUGCUCUGUCCAAUAGAUCAACAACACAACCAUAAUGCUCCAUUAUUGGUACAACCCAAUAUCGACUUGACAUUGACGGAAACAACUUCAAACCCAAGUCAACAAGUUUAGCUCGAGCACAAGCAGUAAGAAUAGCAACAAAGGUAACCUCAUUGGGGCAAAAUCCUUGCGCUUUCAUCUUCUCAAACAUAUAUAGAGCUUGCUUCCCCCUACCAUUGCAGUCCAAGUGAAAACCUCUUUAACCUCUAUCCGAUUGAAUACUCUUAUUGCAGUCUCCAAACAACCUGCCUUUCCAUACAAAUCUACCAACGCAGCCCCCACGACAGCGCUCAAACAUAUCCAUGUAUCUGCUUCCCUUGAUAAAGACCAGUUCCAUCUAAAUUAGCACAAGAAGACAGCACGGUAACAAAUGCAGCCUCAUUAGGCUUCACGGAACCGCGGACCACAUCCUCGUGAACCACCAUCUUUGCCAAAAGUGGCAAUGCAUCAACAAAGCGUCCAUUCAUCACGAACCCAUUAAUGACACUCGUCCAUGAAACCACGUCCUUCUCAUUAAACACCACAAUACAUGGAUGGGGAAUUUCCACAAACAUCUUACGUGCAUUGAGUAUGUCACACACUUCGGCAACUCCACCCUCACGCAUGAAGUUUGCACAUAUGGGUCGCAUAAAACACCCCAUUUGAGAGCCUGAGCAUGGAGAAUUGAGCCAUAUGAGGGAAGCAAGAAGCAGCUUUGAUUAGAGAUGGGAAAGUGAGAUGGUUUGGUGAAAGUCCAUGCGCAAUCAUGCGGGUGAAAAGUAGUAAAGAAGUACGAGAGAGUCCCGUAGAGAGAUAAGAUCAAAUGAGAGUGUUGUAAAUGAGAACGGUGUUCCAUGAAGAAGUGUGGUUGAGGAGAGAGCCGCGGGUGAUAAGAAGGGAAUGAAUCUGUUUGAUCUGGUUGGGACAGUGGAUGAAAUGCUGGAGAAGAAGCUCUGGACUUGAAUAUCCAGAAAACCCACCUGUUACCAGAAGCUUUAAAAUCAAAACUUGAUUACAUGCCUGUUCUUGUCCACCAUCUGCCCAGUUCAUAUAUUAUUAGCAUUCUUGUUCAUAUUUGUUAAUUACAAGAUUUUUGGAUCAAAUUAACAUUUUCUCAUGCUUCUUUCAAUUCAUAUAUAUAUAUAUAUAAAUUUAAUUCCAACCAAAAAUGAAGAAAAUUCUUUUAGUUUACAACUAUUUUUCAAUCUUUCUAAGUUUUCUAACGAAAAACAAAUCCUACGUUGAGAAUUUUUAUUUAGUUUUUAACACUGUGUAUAUUCAUUAAAAUCGAGUCUAAAAGAAUUAUGAACUCAACUUGAAAAAAAACUUUAACAUUAACAAGAUCGAAAACAAAAUUAAUAUUUUAAGUUAUAAAACUUACACAUUAAAAACUAGAAAAUAACCAACCCUAACACCCAAAGAAAAGAAAACGAUAAAAGUAUCCAUGAAGGUUCGGCUCAUUGACAAUUACAAAUUACCAUCUUCAAUUCAUUGACAAUAAUCAUAAAUUACCCUUUUCAAAAAUUCUUAUAUUUCAUUUCGGUCCUUCUAUCUUCGUUUCUCCGCUAAUUUUCUGUAAGGAUUAAUUUGCAAUCGUUAUGCUUGCAACAUCAUUAUGAAAAUUUUUUGCCAUUGUGCAAUAUUUUUACAGUCAAUCGCUUCAGACUUUUCGAGUGUUUGACCUGAUCAUCUUUUAUGCAGAAAAAAUAUAGUAAUAACUCACUUAUUUGGAGUGAUGUUUGGAGAUUGCAAGCUUUAAAUAACAUUUUUAAUAAGAAUGAGAUUGUCAAAUCUUACUAAUUGAACAAAAGCUCAAAGUUCUACAUAAGGAAAAAGAGUUGACAGCCAAACUAUUACCAUAACUUUCGUAAAAUAUAUUUUUUGUGUAAAACUUUAAACUCUACAAAACUAAGGCAAAGUACAAGUUAAUCUAUUGUUGGUUCUGGGUGCUAAUAUAUGAAUGUUCCUGUAGAAGUCUAUCGGAAGUAAGUCGUGCAAGAGGUCAGAAGAAAGGGAAAACACGAUAUGGGAUUUUGUCUGUAGCAAGAUUCUGGUGGACAGAUUGGAGCUGCUAGCGGUAGCUGUUGUUUUCCUCACACGACUUUAUGCAUCAUGUUUAGGUGCAGAUGAUAUUUAGUAAAAAAUAUUUCAUCAGGAAAAAGUGAGACUUGCCUUAUAAAGAAUUUGGGUAUUGCAGUUUUACUGUUUUGUUUUGGCAAGGGAGUGCUUAGUGCUGGUUUAAGUUUUGAGUAAAGAUUAAAAAGUAGUCAGCUCCACCUUUUUUGCAUGAUAUUAAUCAAGGGCUAUAUGCUCUUCCAUCUCAAGUUAUUUUUCUUUUUUGUUCCUUUUAAUUUUUUCUAUGAAUGGGUUGGAUGAGAUGGUACGGUUGGCUUCUGUAUAUAAAUAAUAUAUACAUUUCAUCUCUUUUGAUUUCCAGUACAUGAAUAUUUGACUUGUGAGCAGCUUCUACUGAAAGAGGCUAUUGAAGCAGGUAGCUUUUUUGGUUUUACCUUAUUUCAAUUUAUUCUUCUAUUGAUCCGGAUACAUGUUUAAGUUGUUUUGUUUUUCUUUUCGAGAUUUUCUAUAAUUUUUUACGUGAUUACUCCUCACUGAGUAUCCUAUUAUGUCAUGGAUUGGAAUAUAAUAAGUGAUAAUUCUUCAUUACUGCUAUCAAUGGACAUUAAUUAGGUCAGUAGUAAGGAGAUAUAUAUACUAUUCUAUUUUUUUUAAUCCUGAGUUUGAUUUAUUAGGGGGAGUUUAGGAAUUAGAAUCCUAAAUACAUUAGGUCAAUGUAGAGGAGUGAGUAAGUUAGCAUUUUGAGAAAGAGAUAAUACAAAGUAUAAGAAAUUAGAAAAAACAGUAAAAUAUUUUUAAUUAAAUAUUAAUGCUAUUUAAUUUAUUAUUUUAAAUUUAAUUUUUAGGAAAAAUAAAUAAUAAUUUUUAAAUAUCUAUUUUGUUUUGGUUUAAUUUUAAAAAUAAUAUAUUUUUUUUCUAAAAAAUUCUGUAAUUGACCAAUCUCUUUUUUAAUUUAAAUUUGUAAGUUUAUGAUUAAUUUAUUAUUUUUAUGAUUUUUUUUUGUAUUUUUAAUUUGUUUGUUAUACAUUAUUAUUUUGCUUGCAAAUUAUAGUUAUAAUUAUAAUUAUAAUUAUAAUUAAAUUAAAUUAAAUUAAUUUAAUAGCCCAGUUUUUUCCAACCCAUAACCUACAAACGACAGCGUUUUGGAAGAGGUUAUUGGCGGCAAAAGGGGGGGUUUAAAGGGAAUUUAGAAAGGUUUAGGGGCAAAAUUGGAAAUACAGCUGUUUCCAACGGUCUUCUUCUCUCUAUAUAUAUUGCACCGACCACUCCAUUCUUCUCUCUCUACUCAGCUUUCAGACAGAUCACAUUCCUUCUUCCCUUUCCUCCCGAUUCUCUCUGUUCAUUGGAAACGUUUCGUUUCCUUCCGAUUUCUCUCAAAUUCAAUCGACUGCUUCGACUUUGCUUCUCCGCUCGCUUCUCUGGUAAGGAUCUCCACUGCCGCUUUCUUUUUUUUUUUUCCAUUAAAGAUUCAUAUUGCAAAUUUUCUUCUUUAAUUUUGUCAAACAACUCUUUAAUAUUUGUGGUUCUUUUAAUAUUUGUGAUUCUUUUACGAGAUAAAACAUAAAAUCAUGUACUCUGAGUCAGAUCUGGAAUCCACCGUAACACUCAUUUAGGGAAAAGUCACCAAAAUCUAAGAUCCGUGUAAUCCUUUUUCGGUAACAAACGACCAAUAAAAAAUAUUAAAAAAGAAACCCAGAAAAUCCUCUGUGAAAAUAAAAAAACGAAAAGAGAUCAAAACCCUAGAUCUUGAAAUAAGACUGAUUACUUCUCCCUGGUUUUUCUGUAAUUAGGUUGUGUGGAGUUUUGGAUUGGAGAAUCUUGAAAUGAAUCUGUAAAAUGCAAUCUUUGUAAUGUUAUUAAAGUUUGAGCUCACCAUUACAACGUAAUGGCCUCAAACCCCAUGGAGGAGUCCUAAUCAUAAUGUAUCUUUGUUUUUUAACUGGGUACAAAUUGCAAUGGUGGUGGUUCUGCUAUUUGGGGUUUGAGGACUAAUUAUAAUGUAUAUAAUUUUUAUUUAGUUUGAGGACAAACUACAAUUGUAUAAUGGAUUGUAUUAUUACAGGUUCUCUGCGUAUUAUUAUGUUUGUUAUUUCAAUUAUUCAGGAUUUAGAGUUAAAAUUCCAAUGUAUAUCAAUUUUUAUUGGAUGAGAAGCCUAUUAGGUUCUAUUAUUAUUAUUAUAUAUUUUUUCAAUUAGUUGUACUCAAAUUAUGGGUUUUGGAUCUUGUGGUUGUAUUCCAUAUUACAAUAUGUACGUAAUAUUUGUAGGCGUCAAGUCUGUUUAUUUAUCUUCUAAUAUUGUUAUUAAGUUUUGUUAUACUUUUUACAGGUUGUAUAUAAUAUUUAUAAGUUUUGAGCCUAUAGGAUUGUAUUUUUAUUAUUUUCGUCAUGAUAUUACCCACAUUAUUGUAUUUGAAUAAUGGAUUUCGGAUCAUUUGGUUGUAUUCCGUAUUACAAUAUAUAUGUAAUAUUCAUAGGUAUCAAGCCUAUUGAAUUGUUUUAAUAUUGUUAGGAAGUUUUGUUAUAUUUUUUACGGGUUGUAUGUAAUAGUUAUAAAGUUCGAGCCUAUUGCGUUGUAAUAUUAUUAUUAUCAUGAUGAUAUGACACACAAUAUUGAUUUUGAAUUAUGGGUUUCAAAUAUUUUAGUUUCAUUCAACAAUAUAAUGAAUGUAACGAAGCCCAUUGACUUGUAUUUUUUGUCUAUAUAAUUAAACUAUAUUCUUAUUAUUAUGAAGUUUAUUAACUUUUAUGGGUUUUAUAAGUUGCUAAACUCAGUUGUAUUAUUAUUAUUAUUAACGAGCACAAAUUAUAAUUUGAUUUUAACUAAGUUGAAGUGUAUGUUAUUUGUAUUGACAUGGAGCCGAAUGGGAUUGUAAUAAUAUUUUUGCGAUGAAUUUUAUUAUUGCUAUUAUUUAUGAUAUAUUAUGGAGAGUUGAACCGAAUUGUAAUGCAUAUUAUAUUUUUUUGAUGUGUUUGUAAAAUUUAAUUGCAUCUAAAAUUGUAUUGACCGACAACAAGGUUUAAUCUUCAAAUUUUAACAAGCAAAUAAGAUUAAAUUAAAAUAUUAUAAUAUUAAAAAUGUUAUACUAAGACAUUAUCAAUUUACUUCUUCAAUUUGAUGGUAAAUAAGACUUAAAUUGAAAUAAAAAAUAAACUGAAUUUUGUUGGCGAACUUAAUUUCUUAGUUUGUAAAUAAGAAUGUUAAUUAUUUGACAUACAAGUAUAUUUAUACAGUAUAUUGUGCUAUAUCCAGUAAUUAUAAUGUAUAAUAUUUGUGUAAAACAAUUAUAGUGUAUUGGUUUGCUAGAAAAUAGUAAUAUAAUGAAUUGUAUUCUAAAUUACAAUAAGUAUUUUUUUAGUGAGAUGAAAGUUGACGUAUUGUAAUAUUUUUAUCAGAAAGUUUCACCUACAAUUCGAUCAGAAAAAAUGAGUGCAACUACUUGCAGUUCAGUGAAAAAAAGAAAAAUUCCAACGCAAAAACGUGAAACAAAAAAGCAGAGAGUUGUUACAUUCAGUAAAAGAGGAACGGGUCUGUUUAACAAAGCAGCAGAAUUGUGUGUUCUCUGCAAUGCUCAGGUUGUAAUUUUGGUUUCUGCUCCUUUGGCCAAAGAAAAGUUUUAUACUUUUGCACACCCUAACAUCAAUCUUCUUCUCGACACAUUCCUCAAUAACCAUGUCUCUCAUCCCAUCAACAAUUACAAUAAUCUUUCUACUUCUUCGUCUCAUCAAAAUAUGGAGCAAUUAACUCCUAACAAUAAUGUGUCCAAGACCAAGAAGAGAAAGAGAGAGUCUGAAGAGUUUUGGGGGGAAAAUGAAGACUUUGAUGUUUACCAAACACCUGAAGAGGUGACAUCAAUCAUCGAGAAGUUAGAAAAUGUGAGAGAAAAUGUGGCGCUCAAACUUCAAAAAUUAUCAACUUCUAAUAAUCAAGAUAUUAACAGUAGCGAUCAUCAAAACUAUCAUCUUGGGUGCUUUGCUGAAGAUAUAAUGAACAUUAAUAAUGAGUACAGUAAAGAGAGUGGUGAUCAAAGUCAGUUUAUGACAUCCGUUGUGUUUCAGAAUUUAUCAACUUCUACUUAUCAUGGUAGUUGCAUUGAUCAAAAUAUAGUGGACAUUGAUGGAUUCAAGAACAAUGUUGAUUUUAUGCAAAUGUUGCCUCUAAAAUCUACUAUGCUUACACACAAUACCAACAAUGACAGCCAAGAUAUUGAGAAUUAUCACAAUGAUAUGGGUACUACAUUUGAAGCCCCAUUAUUCUUCUCUAAUGGCGUCGAAAAUUAUCAAGAUAUUGGUAGUGGUGAUCAUCAAAACUAUCAUCUUGGGUGCUUUGCUGAAAAUAUAAUGAAUAUUAGUCAUGAGUACAAUAAUGAAAGUGGCGAUCAGAGUCAGUUUAUGUCAUCUGUUGUGUUUCAAAAUUUAUCAACUUCUACUUAUCAAGAUGGUUGCAUUGAUCAAAAUAUGGUGAACGUUGAUGGAAACAAGAACAAUGUUGCUUUUAUGCAGAUGUUGCCUCUAAACUCUAUUAUGUUUACACACAAUACCAACAAUGGCACCCAAGAUAUUGAGAACUAUCACUGUGAUAUGGGUACUACAUUUGAACCCCCAUUAUUUUUCUCUAAUGGCAUCGAGAGAUGUGCUACGUCUUUUUGUAUUGGUGAUCAAAAUUUUAGUUGGAUGAAUGAUAAGAUCACUACUUCAUACAGUCAAAAUGAACAAUUUUCACCAUCCUUCUCCUCCGAUGACUUGGAUCACCAUAUCAAUACUUCUUUUGAGUGGGAAUUCAGAUAUGAGAAUCCUUCAUUUCUUCAAGAUAAUGCUACUGGAUUAGUUCCACUAUUUUCUCAUAGUGAUAAAGGCAUAGACAAGCAGAAUUUGUCUGAAUCAAAUUUUAAAGAUAAUAGUUUUUCAGUUACUGGAGCAACAACUGACAAUGACUUGCUUCUUGGUGACGACUAUGUUAAUUCUUCAACAAUGGAGGAUAACACUGAAUUUUUUUCAUUGUUGGAAUCUUUCUUUUCUAGUUGAUUGUAAGCUUUCUCUGUAUUUCCUUUGCAGUGUAAUAAAAUGUUCUUGUGAUCUCUCAAUUUUUUCUUUGGCAUAUUGAUCAUAGUUUAAUUCUUAUCAUCCCCUAAAUGAUGAAGUAAAUGUGUACGGAAUCAAUAUUUAUAGUCAUCAACUAUGAGAUUAAAAAAGAAAAAUUCAUACAAAUAUUUUAUACUCGACCAAUCAACCCCAAACUUAAAAAUCUCCCAAAUUAACUAGAAUUAAGAGUUAAUUUUAUUUUAUAUUUUAAAUUAAAUAGCUCUUACUUAUUAUUUGGGUUCUUAAUUAGUUUUAAAUUUUUAAUUAAUUAUUUUUUAAAAAAUAUUUAGAACAAAAUUUUAUUUAUUAUAAUAUAAUUUCAUAAUAUAAGGAUAUCGGCAUUUUAUUUUUCUAAAAAAAGAUAUCAACAUUUAUAAUUACUAUCAUUUUUUAUUUCUUUUUUCAGUUGAAAAAACAAAAAAUAAAUAUUAGAAUAUAUUCAAAAAUUUAUGUCAAACUAUAAAAAUAUUUUAUAAAUUAAAGUUUGGGUGAAAACUAAACCAAACAAACGUAAAUAAACACUUUACUAAAUAUAUGAAUUAAGCCAAUCGAACAAGCGAUUAAUAUAUUUAAACUUACCGGUAAAGAUUUUAUCCCAUAAUCAUUUUAGGGAUGAUUUAAAUUAAAAAUAUAGUUUUAUAGUAAUAUAUAUUUAAUUUAAAUAACAUAUUUAUAUAUAAUAUAUUAUUUAAAUUAUGUAGAUUUAAUCAGAAAUUUAAUUAGAUACAAAAUUUAAUUAAAUUUUAAUACUACUCAAGUUUAAUGAACUUUUAGAUUUUAAAAUUAUAAGAUUAUAUCGAAAUCGAAGUUUAUAAAAUUCGCUCAAGAUUCCAUCUAUUGUUACCCUAAACCGUGUUCAUACCAUAUUAGAAUUGAACUUUGUGAUUCAGCCGGUUGUUUGAACUUAUGAUGGUAUAGAAUCACACGGGUCCACCACCUUUAACUCAUUGAAGAAAAGCUAGACACAACGGUCAAAAAAUUUGAAAAAAGUUUGGAUGUAUCUUCUUUUAAAAGAAAUCAUUUUACCCUAUAAGUCUUUGUUUCUUUCUAAAAAUCUAUCUGGGUGUUACCAUGAAAAUGAUGAAGGCUGUGAAAAAGCUCAAAUUCUGGUCAAGAUCCAGGAAGAAAAGGAAGUACCUUGAGGAGCCCUACUACCCUGUUCUGGCGCACCAUUGCUGUUGCUGUUCAUGCUCCUCCGUCCAGCCCUCAGCUCCUCCAUUGCCACCAUGGCCUGAUGAAUUCUCAUAUCAGAUUCAAGCUGAUAAAACAGAAGGUGUAGAAGAAAGUAAAUUAAUCCAUUCAAAAUUACCUCAAGUAGACGAAGGUAUAAUCACAAGUAGGUCAAUGUAUCAGCAAUAUAUGGUUGAAAAUCAUGUGUAUGACAUGCCUGAGCCUGUUGUUGAGAUAGUUAGAAAAGAAAGAUCAGGCGGGUACGUUGUUCUUCAGCUGGGUUCUCGUCUGAUCCGCUGCUUCUGCCCAUGUUUCAGUAUAGAAGAAGCUAGGUAAAAAAGUGAUCUUCUUAAUUUGUUAGCAUACUUCUUCCUCCUAUUUUUUUUUUUUUAAAUUAAGCAAAGGUAAAAAUAUGUUCUGUACCUUUUUUUUGUGAAAAAGAAUUUUCAAUCUUAACUUUAUUGUACCUAAUAUUUUAAUGUAAUAUAAAGUUUUAAUAAAAAUUCAUACCUAACUUUGGUUGCAUUCACACCAAGCGCGGGCAAGAAAGAGCCUCAGCCAACUCCACUGUGGACGCUAUGAGCUUCUCUAUGCAAUUCUUUCUCUCUUUCUGACUAUUUGUUCUCUGUGUAUUUGCUCUUGCAAAAAAGCCAAGCAAAUAUGAGAAUCAAUGAACAAAAAAUUAGUCCUCAAAGAUGCUCAGAUUUAAAAAUACGUAAAGCUGGUGAUUCCUAAUUAUAAUGAUUUUGCUUCCAGGGGAAAACCAUUCUAGCAUUCCAAUUAUUUUAUCUAAAUGUCCCGAGUCAUCCACAUCAUCGGGAACAACAAGAACUCCUAUAAAGCAUAUAAUUCUUUUUUAUCUUACUAAUCCCCUCAUCAACAUUGUUGAACUUGUAUUUCUAAAUCUUGAUAAAUCCAAAAGAAGUUGUUCUUGUAAGUGAAGCAAACCGUGGAAAUUGUGCAGCAGUUGCUCUGACGUCUGCAAGAAAUCUUCUGUCUCUGAAUUUUUAAAUGUUCAUGUUAUAAACAGUCUUAGCAAAUAUCGUCUUCCCUGUCCCUGCAAUCCCACUUGCUAUGUCAACUCCAUUUGAUCCAUCUUGAGUUCAGGCUUGAUUUCUUCUCCAAGAUCAUCUCUUCCAACUAACUAUUGGGUGACAUCGAACAGUGCCUCAUGCCUGCCUAGAGAAAAAAAAAACGAAAGUUAUGAUUGUUUCCCAACUGCUGAAAUUUAGUAAAAAUCUCAACAAGCAGAGAACGUAGAGUUUUGAAAAUAACAGUUACACUAACCAAGUAAAUAUAAUUUAUUAUAUGCACAGUUAUCCAUGUAAAUUGAUAAUUUAAAUUUGAGAAGUGUGUUAUGGAGCACAUAUAAAAAUAAAAAUCCAUAAAACACAGGAAACUUAUAUAUUUCACAAUGCUUUCGACAAAAUUAUGGCCGUGUCUCUAAACCCUCUGCUCUAGAAUUAACACAAAGAAAAUGCAUGGUAAUAGUUUGUAGUUUAUUGAGAAGAAAGCUGAGAUCAAGCUUACAUAUGUCACAAAAAUCAUUCCUCCCAAGUCAGCAACCUCCCUCGCAGCACCUCAGCUGUUGUAUUUUGUUCUUUACAUCUUUUAGGUGCUCUUCAUGUGCGGCAAUUGUUUCAGAAAAACUCCCUCGCAGUAUACUUCCUAACAUGUGUUGGAUCUACUUCAUAGAACACUGGCAAGAUAUCUGUUCAGUGGUUCUCCUGUGUUACAUGAUCUUACCUAGUUCAUCAGGAAACCACAGAGAAGAGUCACAAUUUUAGGAGAAGAUAAUUAUUUAUAUUGAGACUCCAAUGGCUUUUUCAAGUUAUUUUAUUCAUAUCCUUUCCUCUUUCAACCCCAUCAUCAUAUUUAGAUGUACGAAUUCCUGCCCGCAGUAGGGCCCUAUAAAGGUGAUCCGUGAAGCUCCAGCACCUCGUAAACUUAAGAACAUAUACUAAGCAUAUCCAGAACAUGAGGAGGAAGCUCGCUGCUCUGCACUCGCUGCAUCCAUUGAUAACCAAAAAUUUCAGGAGUAUCGAUUGAAAGCAGAUGGGUGAUGAAUAGAUAAUAAAGCACCAAGGAUCGACAUAAAUUUGUUGGCUCAAGCAAAUCAAUUAUGAUAUUUUUUUGGAGGAAAUUUCCACUUUAACAAUCAUGAUAAGCCAGUGAGCUAAAUCACAUCUUACCAUUUGCCUUUAACAAAAUUUCCGUCUUCUUUAAUUACUCCAACAAUGCAUUUUAGCUUUUACAAGGUAUUAAUUAAUAACUACAUGUGAUAAAUACAGAGGACUUUUAGGUAUUCUUGAUUAGAUCCUAGAAUUGAUCGGAUCCUAGAGUUCUCUUCUAGGACCAAUUAUCAUUUAAGUACCAUAACUUCAUACUACAUUAAAAAUUAUCCAUAAGAUUUUGAGUUCCAUUCAAUUAGAUACUCUAAUCUUUAAUUAGUCUCCCAAUACAUCUAUCACCAUACAAAUACCUGAAGAAAAUCUCAUCCCUAACAGUCUAACCAUGUAAAUGCUUCCUUUUAUAAAUGCCACCUUAAUUUAAGUUAACAUAAUAAUUAGAAAGGGCUUUGCAAACCCUCCAGCUUCAUCCUCAUGCAUCAUCAUCUAUGAAAAAACCUAAUUGCCUUACUAAAAGCAAUUCACAAACUAAUUAAUAAUACUUAAUCCAUUAACACAUCCUUCCUAGGAAAACUUUCUGAAUAAAAAUAGCAAAUUCAUGUCUCAAGAAUCGAUUCCACAUAUAAAAUAAUUCUAAAAACGUUUUACGUGUUUUAUCUAUCACUCACAUAUAAAAUUUGCUUCAUAUUCACAUAAACAACUCAGUAGUCAACCAAAUCUAUCAAUUGUCACUUAUAGAAAUUAUGACCUAAAAAUCCCUUCUAGUAUCUGUAUUCCCAUAUACUAGGUUAAUCUUACAACUAGAGGAAAAAAGAUAAAUCACAUCAGAAUCCCGGAUGUAGAAACCUUACUCAAAUUCGGUCAAUAGGUAAAUGUCCUUUGUGUGAUGUUAUCUGGUGCACAAACAUGUAUGAACUGAUUAAUAGACAAAUUAUCCGCUUAGUGAAUCAACUUUGACCGAGCCAAUCAAACUACAUGCUGGAAUUUUUCGGAUUUUAGACUCUGCCAUCACUUUCCUCCAAUUAGCAGCAUCUCCCCACCUUUCCCCAACGGCACUUACAUCUGACAACACGAAAUAUCGGCCACAAUGUUUUGGCUGUAAUUCCCAACUGAGCUUCUUUCCUACUUCAUUUCCCAACUGAACGUCCCCAUGAAUCUUACAAGCACCAGAAAGAGCUCCCAAAACAGAGGCAUCAGGCAUGAAGGGCAUGCUAAGUGCAAACCCAACUGCAUCUCUCAGAAUUCCUGCUCUGCCCAAUAGAUCAACAACACAGCCAUAAUGCUCCAUUAUUGGUACAAUCCCAUAUCGACUUGACACUGACGGAAACAACUUCAAACCCAAGUCAACAGGUUUUGCUCGAGCACAAGAUGUAAGAAUAGCAACAAAGGUAACCUCAUUGGAGCAAAAUCCUUGCACUUUCAUCUUCUCAAACAUACAUAGAGCUUGCUUCGCCCUGCCAUGACAGGCAAGUGAAGAAAUCAUUGGAUUCCAAGUGAAAACCUCUUUAACCUCUAUCCGAUUGACUACUCUUUUUGCAGUCUCCAAACAACCUGCCUUUCCAGACAAAUCUACCAACGCAGCCCCCACGACAGCGCUCAAACUGAACCCAUUCUUAACAACAUAUCCAUGUAUCUGCUUCCCUUGAUAAAGACCAGUUCCAUCUAAAUUAGCACAAGAAGACAGCACAGUAACAAAUGUAGCCUCAUUAGGCUUCACGGAACCGCGGACCACAUCCUCGUGAUCCAUCAUCUUUGCAAAAAUCCGCAAUGCAUCAAGUCCAUUCAUCACGAACCCAUUAAUAACACUCGCCCAUGAAACCACAUCCUUCUCGGGCAUGCUCUGGAAAUACAGAAAAGCAGAACCCAUGUCUCCAUUCCUCCCAAAAGCGUCAAGUAAAGCAUUACACGCUACAAUACAUGGAUGAGGAAUUUCCACAAACAUCUCACGUGCAUUGCGUAUGUCACACACUUCGUCGUCACACAUUCACGGAUGAAGUUUGCACAAAUGGGUCGCAUAAAACACCCCAUUUGAGAGCAUGAGCAUGGAGAAUUGGACCAGAUGAGGGAGAGCAAGAAGCAGCUUUGAUUAGAGAUGGGAAAGUGAGAUGGUUUGGUGAAAGUCCCUGUGAAAUCAUGCGGGUGAAAAGUAGUAAAGAAGUACGAGAGAGUCCCGUAGAGAGAUAAGAUCAAAUGAGAGUGUUGUAAAUGAGAACGGUGUUCCAUGAAGAAGUGUGGUUGAGGAGAGAGCCGCGGGUGAUAAGAAGGGAAUGAAUCUGUUUGAUCUGGUUGGGACAGUGGAUGAAAUGCUGGAGAAGAAGCUCUGGACUUGAAUAUCCAGAAAACCCACCUGUUACCAGAAGCUUUAAAAUCAAAACUUGAUUACAUGCCUGUUCUUGUCCACCAUCUGCCCAGUUCAUAUAUUAUUAGCAUUCUUGUUCAUAUUUGUUAAUUACAAGAUUUUUGGAUCAAAUUAACAUUUUCUCAUGCUUCUUUCAAUUCAUAUAUAUAUAUAUAUAUAUAUAAAUUUAAUUCCAACCAAAAAUGAAGAAAAUUCUUUUAGUUUACUAUUUAUUUUGUGUGUUUUAAAAUAAUAAUAAUUAUUAAAUUUUAUUAAACUUAACGAGAAAAAUAUAUUUAUUUUAUUUAAUCUAUUCAAUCAUAUUAUUAAUAAAUUAAAAAAAGUUCGAUUACAACUAUUUUUCAAUCUUUCUAAUUUUUUUAAUGAAAAACAAAUCCUACUUAGAGAAUUUUUAUUAAGUUUUUAACACUUUGUAUAUUAAUUAAAAUCGAGUCUAAAAGAAUUAUGAACUCAACUUGAAAAAAAACUUUAACAUUCACAAGAUCGAGAACAAAAUUAAUAUUUUAAGUUAUAAAACUUACACAUUAAAAACUAGAAAAUAACCAACCCUAAUACCCAAAGAAAAGAAAGCGAUAAAAGUAUCCAUGAAGGUUCGGCUCAUUGAAAAUCACAAAUUACCAUCUUCAAUUCAUUGACAAUAAUCAUAAAUUACCCUCUUCGAAAAUUCUUAUAUUUCAUUUCGGUCCUUCUAUCUUCGUUUCUCCGCUAAUUUUUCAUAAUGAUUAAUUUGCAAUCGUUAUGCUUGCAACAUCAUUGUGAAAAUUGUCUACCACUGUGCAAUAUGCUUGCAGUCAAUUGCUUCAGACUUUUGGAGUAUUUGACUCGAUCAUCUUAUAUGCAUAAAUAAUAUAGUAAUACCCCACUCAUUUAGAGUGUUAUCUUGAGGUUGUAGGUUUUAGAGAGACUUUUUAAAAAGCAUGAGAUUGUCAAAUCUUACUAAUUGAACACUAGCUCAGAGUUCUACAACAAAGAAAAAAAAAAAAUUGACAGCCAAACUAUUACCAUAACCUUCGUAAAAUACAUUUUUGUGUAAAACUUUGAGCUUCACAAGACUAGGGCAAAGAACAAGUUCAUCUAUUGUUAGUUCCGGGCUAUAAUAUAUGAAUGUUCAUGCAUAAGCCUAUGGGAAGUAAGUCAUGCAAGAGGUCAGAAUAAAGGAAACACACGAUAUGGAGUUUUGUCUGUAGUAGGAUUUUGGUGGACAGAUUGGAACUGCUAGGAGUAGCUGCUGUAUUCCUCACACGACUUUAUGUAUCUUGUUUAGGUGGAGUAUGGUAUUUAGUGAAAAAUAUUUCAUCAGGAAAGAAUGAGACUUGCCUUAUAAAGACUUUGGGUAUUGCAGUUUUACUGUUUUGUUUCGGCAAUGGAGUGCUUAGUGCUGGUUCAAGUUUUGGGUAAAGACUGAAAACUAGUCAGCUCCACCUUCCUUGCAUGAUAUUAAUCAAGGGCUAUAUGCUCUUCCAUCUCAAGUUGUUUUUCUUUUUUGUUCCUUUUAUUUUUUCUACGAAUGAGCUGGAUGAAAUAGUACGGUUGGCUUCUAUAUAUAAAUAAUAUAUACCUUUAAUCUCUUUUGAUUUUCGGUACAUGAAUAUAUGACUUGUGAACAGCUUCUCCUGAAGGAAAUUAUUGAAGCAGGUAGUCUCUUUUAUUUUAUCUUAUUUCAACUUAUUCUUCUAUUGAUCCGAAUACAUAUUUAAGUUAUUUUGUUUUUCUUUUCGAGAUUUUCUAUAGUUUUUUAUGUGAUUAUUCCUUACUGAGUAUCCUAUUAUGGUAUAGAUUGGAAUAUAAUAAGUAAUAAUUUUUCAUUACUGCUAUCAAUGAACAUUAAUUAGAUAAGUUGUAAGGGAAUAUAUAUACUAUUCUAUUUUUUCUAUUCUGAGUUUGAUUUAUUAAGGGGAGUUUAGGAAUCAGAAUCUUAAAUUCAUUAGAUCAAUGUGGAAGAGUCAUUAAGUUAACAUUUUGAGACAAUAAAAUAUUUUUAUUAAAUAUUAGUGCAAUUUAAUUUGUUGUUUUAAAUUUAAUUUAUUAGUAUUAUUUGUGAUAUUGUUUCAAAAUUAUUUUUAAAAAAAUCAUGUCUUCAUAUAAUAUUUAACCUUCACCUUGAAAAAAUUAAAAUAAUGAUAUAUUUAAUUAACUAAUUUGAUAAUAUACAUUCAAUUUAAUAUUUAUUCGUAUAGUCGUAUAAUUUAAUAAAUUAUUAAAUAUAAAGAUAAAGAUAUAAGAUAUUUAUUAUUAAGUAUACUUUUAUAAUAGCUUUAGUUUCAAAGUUUGAUUUAAUAGUUAAAUUUAAUUUUUAGGAAAAAUAAAUAAUAAUUUUUAAGUAUAUAUUUUAUGAUUUUUUUGGUAUUUUUAAUUUGUUUGUUAUACAUUAUUAUUUUGCUUGCAAAUUAUAGUUAUAAUUAUAAUUAUAAUUAAAUUAAUUUAAUAGCCCAGUUUUUUCCAACCCAUAACCUACAAACGACAGCGUUUUGGAAGAGGUUAUUGGCGGGAAGGGGGAGGGUUUAAAGGGAAUUUAGAAAGGUUUAGGGGCAAAAUUGGAAAUACAGCUGUUCCCAACGGUCUUCUUCUCUCUAUAUAUAUUGCACCGACCACUCCAUUCUUCUCUACUCAGCUUUCAGACAGAUCACAUUCCUUCUUCCCUUUCCUCCCGAUUCUCUCUGUUCAUUGGAAGCGUUUCGUUUCCUUCCGAUUUCUCUCAAAUUCAAUCGACUGCUUCGACUUUGCUUCUCCGCUCGCUUCUCUGGUAAGGAUCUCCACUGCCGCUUUUUUUUUUUUUUUUCCAUUAAAGAUUCAUAUUGCAAAUUUUCUUCUUUAAUUUUGUCAAACAACUCUUUAAUAUUUGUGGUUCUUUUAAUAUUUGUGAUUCUUUUACGAGAUAAAACAUAAAAUCAUGUACUCUGAGUCAGAUCUGGAAUCCACCGUAACACUCAUUUAGGGAAAAGUCACCAAAAUCUAAGAUCCGUGUAAUCCUUUUUCGGUAACAAACGACCAAUAAAAAAUAUUAAAAAAGAAACCCAGAAAAUCCUCUGUGAAAAUAAAAAAACGAAAAGAGAUCAAAACCCUAGAUCUUGAAAUAAGACUGAUUACUUCUCCCUGGUUUUUCUGUAAUUAGGUUGUGUGGAGUUUUGGAUUGGAGAAUCUUGAAAUGAAUCUGUAAAAUGCAAUCUUUGUAAUGUUAUUAAGGUUUGAGCUCACCAUUACAACGUAAUGGCCUCAAACCCCAUGGAGGAGUCCUAAUCAUAAUGUAUCUUUGUUUUUUAACUGGGUACAAAUUGCAAUGGUGGUGGUUCUGCUAUUUGGGGUUUGAGGACUAAUUAUAAUGUAUAUAAUUUUCAUUUAGUUUGAGGACAAACUACAAUUGUAUAAUGGAUUGUAUUAUUACGGGUUCUCUGCAUAUUAUUAUGUUUGUUAUUUCAAUUAUUCGGGGCUUAUAGUGAAAUCCAAUGUAUAUUAUUUUUAUUGGAUGAGAAGCCUAUUGGGUUCUAUUAUUAUUAUAUAUAUUAUAUAUUAGUUGUACUCAAAUUAUGGGUUUUGGAUCUUGUGGUUGUAUUCCAUAUUACAAUCUGUAUGUAAUAUUUGUAGGCGUCAAGUCUGUUUAUUUAUCUUCUAAUAUUGUUAUUAAGUUUUGUUAUACUUUUUACAGGUUGUAUAUAAUAUUUAUAAGUUUUGAGCCUAUAGGAUUGUAUUUUUAUUAUUUUCGUCAUGAUAUUACCCACAUUAUUGUAUUUGAAUAAUGGAUUUCGGAUCAUUUGGUUGUAUUCCGUAUUACAAUAUAUAUGUAAUAUUCAUAGGUAUCAAGCCUAUUGAAUUGUUUUAAUAUUGUUACGAAAUUUUGUUAUAUUUUUUACUGGUUGUAUGUAAUAGUUAUAAAGUUCGAGUUUAUUGCGUUGUAAUAUUAUUAUUAUCAUGAUGAUACGACACACAAUAUUGUAUUUGAAUUAUGAGUUUCGGAUCAUUUGGUUGUAUUCCAUAUUACAAUAUGUAUGUAAUAUUCAUAGACAUCAAGCCUAUUGAAUUGUUUUAAUAUUGUUAUGAAAUUUUGUUAUAUUUUUUACGGAUCGUAUAUAAUAUUUAUAAGCUUUGAGCCUAUUGGGUUGUAUUAUUAUUAUUAUCAUCCUAAUAUUACAUACAUUAGUGUAUUUGAAUUAUAGAUUUCGGAUCAUUUGGUUGUAUUCAAUAUUACAAUAUAUAUGUAAUAUUCAUAGGUAUCAAGCCUAUUGAAUUAUUUUAAUAUUGUUACGAAGUUUUGUUAUAUUUUUUACGGAUUGUAUGUAAUAGUUAUAAGUUUCGAGCCUAUUUCGUUGUAAUAUUAUUAUUAUCACGAUGAUAUGACACAAUAUUGUAUUUGAAUUAUGAGUUUCGGAUCAUUUGGUUGUAUUCCAUAUUACAAUAUGUAUGUAAUAUUCAUAGGUAUAAAGCCUAUUGAAUUGUUUUAAUAUUGUUACGAAAUUUUGUUAUAUUUUUUACGGGUUGUAUGUAAUAGUUAUAAGUUUCGAGCCUAUUUCGUUGUAAUAUUAUUAUUAU
Molecule: long non-coding RNA, 35798 nt
Filed under: Carica papaya (papaya)
Lineage: Eukaryota; Viridiplantae; Streptophyta; Magnoliopsida; Brassicales; Caricaceae
Description: long non-coding RNA (CPAP_LNC004980)
Source: RNAcentral